RNAcentral lists this ribosomal RNA (484 nucleotides) under uncultured bacterium. Its description in RNAcentral is "bacterial SSU rRNA". It matches the Rfam family "Bacterial small subunit ribosomal RNA", at positions 28 to 524 of the family's 1533-position model. The record is from RNAcentral.
GAUGAACGCUAGCGGCAGGCUUAAUACAUGCAAGUCAAGGGGCCAGCAAUGGCACCGGCGGACGGGUGAGUAACGCGUACACAACGUACCUUUAACUGGGGGAUAGCAUCUGGAAACGGGUGGUAAUACCGCAUGUGGUUGCGGGGAGGCAUCUCCUUGUAACUAAAACUUUGGUGGUUAGAGAUCGGUGUGCGUCUGAUUAGCUAGUUGGUAGGGUAGAGGCCUACCAAGGCGACGAUCAGUAGGGGGCGUGAGAGCGUGAACCCCCACACGGGUACUGAGACACGGACCCGACUCCUACGGGAGCAGCAGUAAGGAAUAUUGGUCAAUGGAGGGAACUCUGAACCAGCCAUGCCGCGUGAAGGAAGAAGGCGCUACGCGUUGUAAACUUCUUUUGGGUGGGACGAAAAUAAUCCAUUUAUGGAUAGCUGACGGUACCAUCAGAAUAAGCACCGGCUAACUCCGUGCCAGCAGCCGCGGUAAU